GGAGGAUGGUGUAAGGAAUGCAAUUUGCAAAGCAGCAGCUGCCAAAAUGCUAAGUGGGGGUACUGAGGAUUCAGUCGUUCACUCACCCAACGGAUGCCGUUUGUCUUGAGGCGCUGACUGCGAGAAGAGGUAUGUAUCAUAUCUUUGCUUUACCAAAGCUUCUGCUUCUCACAUUCUUUGGCUUAUUAUUAACUCCGUGCGUUUUGUUUCCUGUUGGCUCCCCAGAUAGUGGUAGCUCCUUGUCUGGAAUGGAAUUUCCGUCUCGAUCACCGGGUAUGCGGCUUUGGCUUGUCUUGUCAAUUUGUAGCCGAGGAGGGACCGGGAGAUCGCUUGUUGCUGAUUCUGAGAUAAGUUCACCGCUUUAGUUUUUUCCCUCGUGCCAUUAUUUAUAAUGGUCACCUCUUAGCGUGUAGAGAGCAUGGUGAAGAACAAGACGGGGCGAAGACCACUUUGGAUCCAUUUGACAAAGGCUCGCAGUUAUUAAAUGACUAAGAGCUGGGAACAGCUUGACCCUUCGAAAACCACCCACUUUUAAAGGUAAAAUGAAAGAGAACAGGAAAUUGGAGGUGGGAGCGUAUCGUAUCCAGAGAAAAAAGAGGCUUGCACAUCGACACGACGGCUGGGGACGACAAUAUUAUUAAACAGGACGAAAGAAACAGGGGCAGUAGCAGUGGCACAGGGCAGCAGUGUUGUUGGGCCUCCUCCUCCUCUCUGCAAAGCGAGAGGGGCCCUUUCUUCUCGGCUGAAACGCAGGACAAGAGAGGGAGAAAGAAAAACAAAGGAAAGCAAGGGUCGGGAGGGAAGCAAACAAAAUCGAAGCCGGAAUAAAGGGAAAUAUGCUACGGUGAAUAGUUUUUGGGGACACAGGGGCGGAGAUAAGAAAGAGAAGAGAAAAAUGGAAGGAAAGUAAGGCACAGGGGCCAUGCAGGACUGCCGACUGAGAGGAAAAGCCUUGGGAAGGGAGAGCGCGAGAGAAGUAAGAAGGGAUGUGGGGCGCCUCUCCUUGUGCCAGGUAUGGGAUUUUAUACCUUUUGUUUCUUUGCAUUCAUUCGUUCGCUCGCUCAAUCUUAUUGCAAGGGGCUGGCUUCUUUCUUGUCAUAUUUUUUGCUUCUGGUACCAAGUAGUGCUUCCAUGCUGUCACAUUCAUGUGGGUGAGAGAACCAUGGACAGGCUUUGCAUCAGAGAGAGUAACAUGCAUGAUUUUGAUGUUCUUGUCAUUCACUGCUAAAGAUUGCAAGCUUUUUUUCUUCUCCUUGGCUACAACAACAGGACGCGCAUCGUAUCCUAUCAAUCACUUUGAAUCUGGAAAGGCAGGAAAUCUCCUCCUUCCAAGUUAUGUAGGUAUUCUAUUGUUCUCCCCUUUUUUUCUCUUUUCUCUUUUUUUUUCUCUCUUCUCUUUGUUUUCUAAAUGGUCCCUUUCUUUGCUUUGAUGUUUCAUCUGUUUCAGACAACACCACCGCCAUCACUUGGGCAAUCUUCGAUCGCCCUCUGUCGGCACAAAAGUUCUAAAGCUCCAUUUUCUAUGGUCUACUUACGUCAAGAACAAGAAUCAACCACUAGAUAGUCCCAUGAUAUCUUGUUUAUAUGAUCAUUCAAAUAUUUGUUUUAUAUGCAAGUUGAGCCAGAAAAGAGAGCCAUCGAUAUAGCAAAUAUUUGAUUGCAAACAAUAUGGUAGAUGAUACAAUACAAAGCUUCUCAAAGUCUUCUUGUUAAAACUUGUAUACUUACAUGAUCGAAAAGCCCACUACACUGACCAAAAAAAAAUCACCACCGAAUUAGUAGCUUUUCCUCUCCUUUUCUCGUUUUUUUUUCUUCUCUUUUUCCGUGUGUUCUUCCGAAACUUUGCCUGCUCUACGAGGACUCCAUCUUCUCCUUGCCAGUCCGCUCGUCUUUGAUCUCUUCCAGCUCGUCCUCGUCCGCCUUUUUGCCCGCCUGCUCCUUCCAGUAUCCCAGCAUCUUCUUGAGCCUCACGAUCUCCUUCGUGUUCGUGUUCUUGGUCGGGUCAUUGAUAAUUGACCGCACGCGCGUUGCGUAGCUGCGACAAGAGCAAAGAACAAAUCCAUCAAUCCACACACUGGAUCGCG
RNAcentral lists this long non-coding RNA (2084 nucleotides) under Selaginella moellendorffii. Its description in RNAcentral is "long non-coding RNA (SMOE_LNC000567)". Lineage: Eukaryota; Viridiplantae; Streptophyta; Lycopodiopsida; Selaginellales; Selaginellaceae. The record is from RNAcentral.